GGCGACGUAGCCAAGCGGAAAGGCACUCGGCUGCAACCCGGGGAGCGCGGGUUCAAAUCCCGCCGUCGCCU
RNAcentral lists this transfer RNA (71 nucleotides) under Alphaproteobacteria bacterium. RNAcentral's name for it is "tRNA-Cys". It matches the Rfam family "tRNA". Rfam says of the family: Transfer RNA (tRNA) molecules are approximately 80 nucleotides in length. Their secondary structure includes four short double-helical elements and three loops (D, anti-codon, and T loops). Further hydrogen bonds mediate the characteristic L-shaped molecular structure. tRNAs have two regions of fundamental functional importance: the anti-codon, which is responsible for specific mRNA codon recognition, and the 3' end, to which the tRNAs corresponding amino acid is attached (by aminoacyl-tRNA synthetases). tRNAs cope with the degeneracy of the genetic code in two manners: having more than one tRNA (with a specific anti-codon) for a particular amino acid; and 'wobble' base-pairing, i.e. permitting non-standard base-pairing at the 3rd anti-codon position. The record is from RNAcentral. Lineage: Bacteria; Pseudomonadati; Pseudomonadota; Alphaproteobacteria.